GAUCAAGCGCGACAAGGGCAUUUGGUGGAUGCCUUGGCAUGCACAGGCGAUGAAGGACGUGAUAUGCUGCGAUAAGCUAUGGGGAGCUGCAAAUAAGCAUUGAUCCGUAGAUUUCCGAAUGGGGGAACCCACCUUAGACGUCUAGGAAAGUGUACAUUACGGUUUAAUUUUCUAGGUGUUUAUAGGUAUCAUUAUCUGAAUAAAAUAGGAUAAAAGAAGCGAACGCAGGGAACUGAAACAUCUAAGUACCUGUAGGAAAGGACAUCAAUUGAGACUCCGUUAGUAGUGGCGAGCGAACGCGGAUCAGGCCAGUGUUAAGAUAGAUUAAAGUAGAAUUACCUGGGAAGGUAAGCCAUAGUGUGUGAUAGCCCCGUAUACGUAAUGAUCUUUUUUAACCUUGAGUAGGGCGGGACACGUGAAAUCCUGUCUGAACACGGGGCGACCACGCUCCAAGCCUAAGUACUCGUGCAUGACCGAUAGUGAACUAGUACCGUGAGGGAAAGGCGAAAAGAACCCCUACUAGGGGAGUGAAAUAGACCCUGAAACCGAAUGCCUACAAACAGUCGAAGGCCGCGAGGCUGACGGCGUACCUUUUGUAUAAUGGGUCAACGACUUAGUGUGACAAGCGAGCUUAAGCCGAUAGGUGUAGGCGCAGCGAAAGCGAGUCUGAAUAGGGCGUUUAGUUUGUUGCAUUAGACCCGAAACCGAGUGAUCUAGCCAUGAGCAGGUUGAAGGUUGGGUAACACCAAUUGGAGGACCGAACCCGUAUCUGUUGCAAUAGAUUGGGAUGACUUGUGGCUAGGGGUGAAAGGCCAAUCAAACUCGGAGAUAGCUGGUUCUCCGCGAAAUCUAUUUAGGUAGAGCGUUAACUGAAUACCCUCGGGGGUAGAGCACUGGAUAGGCUAUGGGGGCUUACCGCCUUACUGCUCCUAACCAAACUCCGAAUACCGAGGAGUACUAGUUGGCAGACACACAGUGGGUGCUAACGUCCAUUGUGGAGAGGGCAACAACCCUGACCUCCAUUUAAGGUCCCGAAGUCAUGGCUAAGUGGGAAAGGAUGUGGAAAUCCCAAAACAACCAGGAUGUUGGCUUAGAAGCAGCCAUCAUUUAAAGAAAGCGUAACAGCUCACUGGUCUAGGUAAGGAUUUUUGCGCCGAAAAUGUAACGGGGCUAAAGCCAUGCACCGAAGAUGAGGAUUUGUUUUACUUUAUAAGUUUGCAAGUGGUAGCGGAGCGUUCCGUAAGCUGAUGAAGGAGGACUUGUGAGAGCCUCUGGAGGUAUCGGAAGUGAGAAUGUUGACAUGAGUAACGAUAAAGAGGGUGAGAAACCCUCUCGCCGAAAGACCAAGGGUUCCUGCUUAAAGUUAAUCUGAGCAGGGUUAGCCGGCCCCUAAGGUGAGGCGGAAACGCGUAGCUGAUGGGAACCACAUUAAUAUUUGUGGGCCUGAUGGAAGUGACGGAUCAAGUAUAUUGUACAUUUUUAUUGGAUUAGAUGUGCAUUGGAUUGGUUCCAGGAAACAGCUCCAUUUUAUAGACCGUACCCUAAACCGACACAGGUGGUCAGGUAGAGCAUACUAAGGCGCUUGAGAGAACUGCGUUGAAGGAACUCGGCAAAUUGCACGCGUAACUUCGGGAUAAGCGUGACCUUUUUUUGGGCAACCAAUAGGAGGUGUCACAGACCAGGGGGUAGCGACUGUUUACCAAAAACACAGGGCUCUGCGAAGUCGUAAGACGAAGUAUAGGGCCUGACGCCUGCCCGGUGCUGGAAGGUUAAUAGGAGGGGUGAGAGCUCUGAAUUGAAGCCCCAGUAAACGGCGGCCGUAACUAUAACGGUCCUAAGGUAGCGAAAUUCCUUGUCGGGUAAGUUCCGACCUGCACGAAUGGCGUAACGACUUCCCCACUGUCUCCAACGCAGACUCAGUGAAAUUGAAUUCCCCGUGAAGAUGCGGGGUUCCUGCGGUUAGACGGAAAGACCCCGUGCACCUUUACUAUAGCUUUACAUUGGCGUUUGUUUUGAUAUGUGUAGGAUAGGUGGUAGGCAUUGAAGCAAGGACGCUAGUUUUUGUGGAGUCAUCCUUGAAAUACCACCCUUAUCAAAGUGGAUGUCUAACUGCGCUCCGUUAUCCGGGGCCGGGACAUUGUAUGGUGGGUAGUUUGACUGGGGCGGUCGCCUCCGAAAGAGUAACGGAGGCGCGCGAUGGUAGGC
This 2205-nucleotide ribosomal RNA is filed under the name Candidatus Liberibacter africanus. RNAcentral's name for it is "bacterial LSU rRNA". It matches the Rfam family "Bacterial large subunit ribosomal RNA", at positions 1 to 2321 of the family's 2925-position model. Lineage: Bacteria; Pseudomonadati; Pseudomonadota; Alphaproteobacteria; Hyphomicrobiales; Rhizobiaceae. The record is from RNAcentral.